CAUGCAAGUCGAACGAAACUUCUUUAUCACCGAGUGCUUGCACUCACCGAUAAAGAGUUGAGUGGCGAACGGGUGAGUAACACGUGGGCAACCUGCCCAAAAGAGGGGGAUAACACUUGGAAACAGGUGCUAAUACCGCAUAACCACAGUUACCGCAUGGUAACUGUGUAAAAGGUGGCUAUGCUACCGCUUUUGGAUGGGCCCGCGGCGCAUUAGCUAGUUGGUGGGGUAAAGGCUUACCAAGGCAAUGAUGCGUAGCCGAACUGAGAGGUUGAUCGGCCACAUUGGGACUGAGACACGGCCCAAACUCCUACGGGAGGCAGCAGUAGGGAAUCUUCCACAAUGGGCGAAAGCCUGAUGGAGCAACGCCGCGUGGGUGAAGAAGGUCUUCGGAUCGUAAAACCCUGUUGUUAGAGAAGAAAGUGCGUGAGAGUAACUGUUCACGUUUCGACGGUAUCUAACCAAAAAGCCACGGCUAACUACGUGCCAGCAGCCGCGGUAAUACGUAGGUGGCAAGCGUUAUCCGGAUUUAUUGGGCGUAAAGGGAACGCAGGCGGUCUUUUAAGUCUGAUGUGAAAGCCUUCGGCUUAACCGGA
This 596-nucleotide ribosomal RNA is filed under the name uncultured Lactobacillus sp. RNAcentral's name for it is "bacterial SSU rRNA". It matches the Rfam family "Bacterial small subunit ribosomal RNA", at positions 54 to 617 of the family's 1533-position model. The record is from RNAcentral. Lineage: Bacteria; Bacillati; Bacillota; Bacilli; Lactobacillales; Lactobacillaceae.